CUGCUGCCUUCCGUAGGAGUUUGGACUGUGUCUCAGUUCCAAUGUGGGGGACCGUUCCUCUCAGAACCCCUACCGCAUCGUCGGCUUGGUGGGCCGUUGCCCCACCAACUACCUAAUGCGCCGCAUGCCCAUCCGUGACCGGGGUCGCCCCUUUGGCCGGCAGGGGAUGUCCCCUCCCGGCAUUAUGUUGUAUUAGGCGGGAUUUCUCCCGGGUUAUCCAUCUGUCACGGCCAGGUUGCAUACGUGUUACUCACCCGUGCGCCCGGUCGCCGGCGG
Molecule: ribosomal RNA, 276 nt
Filed under: uncultured bacterium
Lineage: Bacteria
Description: partial 16S ribosomal RNA
Source: RNAcentral